RNAcentral lists this small nucleolar RNA (134 nucleotides) under Dasypus novemcinctus (nine-banded armadillo). Its description in RNAcentral is "Small nucleolar RNA SNORA81 (ENSDNOG00000044471.1)". It matches the Rfam family "Small nucleolar RNA SNORA81", at positions 1 to 137 of the family's 179-position model. The record is from RNAcentral. Lineage: Eukaryota; Metazoa; Chordata; Mammalia; Cingulata; Dasypodidae.
ACCUUCUUUAUAAGCAUGGUGCUAAAAUUGCAGAAACUAGGAUUAUUUCUUAGUUUCUGUAGUAAUACUAGCAGAAUACACAAAGAAGAAAAGUAACUGCACUAGAUUGUAAAGACUGUUGUGGUCCUCUUUCU